RNAcentral lists this ribosomal RNA (406 nucleotides) under uncultured bacterium. RNAcentral's name for it is "partial 16S ribosomal RNA". It matches the Rfam family "Bacterial small subunit ribosomal RNA", at positions 30 to 526 of the family's 1533-position model. The record is from RNAcentral.
AUUGAACGCUGGCGGCAGGCCUAACACAUGCACGUCGAACGAGUGGCGGACGGGUGAGUAAUGUCUGGGAAACUGCCUGAUGGAUGGGGAUAACUACUGGAAACGGUAGCUAAUACCGCAUACCAUCGGAUGUGCCCAGAUUGGAUUAGCUAGUAGGUGGGGUAACGGCUCACCUAGGCGACGAUCCCUAGCUGGUCUGAGAGGAUGACCAGCAACACUGGAACUGAGACACGGUCCAUACUCCUACGGGAGGCAGCAGUGGGGAAUAUUGCACAAUGGGCGCAAGCCUGAUGCAGCCAUGCCGCGUGUAUGAAGAAGGCCUUCGGGUUGUAAAGUACUUGCAGCGGGGAGGCGUUACCCGCAGAAGAAGCACCGGCUAACUCCGUGCCAGCAGCCGCGGUAAUUC